CCUACGGGUGGCAGCAGUGAGGAAUAUUGCACAAUGGGCGCAAGCCUGAAGCAGCCAAGUCGCGUGAAUGAUGACUGCCCUCCUGGUUUUAAGCUCUUUUUAUAAAGGAAUAAAGUGAGGCACGUGUGCCUUUUCGCAUGUACUUUACGAAUAAAGAACGGCUAAUUCCGUGCCAGGAGCCGCGGUAAUACGGAAGGUCUGGGCGUUAUCCGGAUGUAAUGGGUUUAACGGGAGCGUAGGGCGGUCUUUAAGCGGGCCGUGAAAUUUUGUGGCUCAACCAUGAGAGUGCGGCGCGAACUGGAGACCUUGAGUGCGGGGAAGGGAGGCGGAAUUCGUGGUGUAGCGGUGAAAUGCGUAGAUAUCAGGAAGAACACCGGUGGCGAAGGCAGCCUGCCGGAGCGUUACUGACGCUGAAGCUCGAAAGCGUGGGUAUCGAACAGGAUUAGAUACCCGAGUAGUC
This 460-nucleotide ribosomal RNA is filed under the name uncultured bacterium. RNAcentral describes it as "partial 16S ribosomal RNA". It matches the Rfam family "Bacterial small subunit ribosomal RNA", at positions 338 to 795 of the family's 1533-position model. The record is from RNAcentral.